UGGGGAAUUUUGGACAAUGGGGGAAACCCUGAUCCAGCCAUCCCGCGUGUGCGAUGAAGGCCUUCGGGUUGUAAAGCACUUUUGGCAGGAAAGAAACGUCAUGGGUUAAUACCCCGUGAAACUGACGGUACCUGCAGAAUAAGCACCGGCUAACUACGUGCCAGAAGCCGCGGUAAUACGUAGGGUGCAAGCGUUAAUCGGAAUUACUGGGCGUAAAGCGUGCGCAGGCGGUUCGGAAAGAAAGAUGUGAAAUCCCAGAGCUCAACUUUGGAACUGCAUUUUUAACUACCGGGCUAGAGUGUGUCAGAGGGAGGUGGAAUUCCGCGUGUAGCAGUGAAAUGCGUAGAUAUGCGGAGGAACACCGAUGGCGAAGGCAGCCUCCUGGGAUAACACUGCCGCUCAUGCACGAAAGCGUGGGGAGCAAACAGG
This 429-nucleotide ribosomal RNA is filed under the name Acidobacteriota bacterium. Its description in RNAcentral is "Acidobacteria bacterium partial 16S ribosomal RNA". It matches the Rfam family "Bacterial small subunit ribosomal RNA", at positions 355 to 776 of the family's 1533-position model. Lineage: Bacteria; Pseudomonadati; Acidobacteriota. The record is from RNAcentral.